Molecule: transfer RNA, 70 nt
Filed under: Loxodonta africana (African savanna elephant)
Lineage: Eukaryota; Metazoa; Chordata; Mammalia; Proboscidea; Elephantidae
Rfam family: tRNA
About the family: Transfer RNA (tRNA) molecules are approximately 80 nucleotides in length. Their secondary structure includes four short double-helical elements and three loops (D, anti-codon, and T loops).
Source: Rfam by way of RNAcentral
GCAGUGGUGUUCCCUGGUAGAACUCUCACCUUCCAUGUGGGAGACCCGGGUUCGAUUCCUGGCCAAUACA